This 495-nucleotide ribosomal RNA is filed under the name uncultured bacterium. RNAcentral's name for it is "partial 16S ribosomal RNA". It matches the Rfam family "Bacterial small subunit ribosomal RNA", at positions 28 to 507 of the family's 1533-position model. The record is from RNAcentral.
GACGAACGCUGGCGGCGCGCCUAAUACAUGCAAGUAGAACGCUGAAGGAGGAGCUUGCUCUUCUGGAUGAGUUGCGAACGGGUGAGUAACGCGUAGGUAACCUGCCUGGUAGCGGGGGAUAACUAUUGGAAACGAUAGCUAAUACCGCAUAAGAGUAGAUGUUGCAUGACAUUUACUUAAAAGGUGCAAUUGCAUCACUACCAGAUGGACCUGCGUUGUAUUAGCUAGUUGGUGGGGUAACGGCUUACCAAGGCGACGAUACAUAGCCGACCUGAGAGGGGGAUCGGCCACACUGGGACUGAGACACGGCCCAGACUCCUACGGGAGGCAGCAGUAGGGAAUCUUCGGCAAUGGACGGAAGUCUGACCGAGCAACGCCGCGUGAGUGAAGAAGGUUUUCGGAUCGUAAAGCUCUGUUGUAAGAGAAGAACGAGUGUGAGAGUGGAAAGUUCACACUGUGACGGUAUCUUACCAGAAAGGGACGGCUAACUACGUG